Molecule: ribosomal RNA, 253 nt
Filed under: uncultured bacterium
Lineage: Bacteria
Description: partial 16S ribosomal RNA
Rfam family: Bacterial small subunit ribosomal RNA
Source: RNAcentral
UACAGAGGGGGCAAGCGUUGUUCGGAAUUACUGGGCGUAAAGGGCGCGUAGGCGGCCUGCUAAGUCGAACGUGAAAUCCCUCGGCUCAACCGGGGAACUGCGUCUGAUACUGGGUGGCUUGAAUUCGGGAGAGGGAUGCGGAAUUCCAGGUGUAGCGGUGAAAUGCGUAGAUAUCUGGAGGAACACCGGUGGCGAAGGCGGCAUCCUGGACCGGUAUUGACGCUGAGGCGCGAAAGCCAGGGGAGCAAACGGG